AGAGUUUGAUCAUGGCUCAGGACGAACGCUGGCGGCGCGCUUAACACAUGCAAGUCGAGCGAGAACCCAGGCUUCGGCCUGGGGGACAGCGGCGAACGGGUGAGUAACACGUGGGUAAUCUGCCCUCGGCAUCGGGAUAGCCCGGGGAAACCCGGAUUAAUACCGAAUGGCCCAUCUGCUCUUCGGAGCGGCUGGAAAAGGUAGCUUUGGCCUCCGGCCGAGGAGGAGCCCGCGGCGGAUUAGCUUGUUGGUGAGGUAACGGCUCACCAAGGCGACGAUCCGUAGCUGGUCUGAGAGGACGAUCAGCCACACUGGGACUGAGACACGGCCCAGACUCCUACGGGAGGCAGCAGUGGGGAAUCUUGCGCAAUGGGCGAAAGCCUGACGCAGCGACGCCGCGUGCGGGAAGAAGGCCUUCGGGUUGUAAACCGCUUUCAGGAGGGACGAAGCCACUCGGGUUAAUAGCCCAGAGGGUGACGGUACCUCCAGAAGAAGCCCGGCUAACUACCUGCCAGCAGCCGCGGUA
Molecule: ribosomal RNA, 526 nt
Filed under: uncultured Actinomycetes bacterium
Lineage: Bacteria; Bacillati; Actinomycetota; Actinomycetes
Description: bacterial SSU rRNA
Rfam family: Bacterial small subunit ribosomal RNA
Source: RNAcentral